GCAGCAUGGUCUUAGCUUGCUAAGACUGAUGGCGACCGGCGCACGGGUGCGUAACACGUAUGCAACUUGCCUCACAGAGGGGGAUAACCCGUCGAAAGACGGACUAAUACCGCGUACACUUGGGAUGGGGCAUCCUGACCCAAGGAAAUGAAUUUCGCUGUGAGAUAGGCAUGCGUCCCAUUAGCUAGUUGGUGAGGUAACGGCUCACCAAGGCGACGAUGGGUAGGGGAACUGAGAGGUUGAACCCCCACACUGGUACUGAGACACGGACCAGACUCCUACGGGAGGCAGCAAUGAGGAAUAUUGGUCAAUGGGCGAGAGCCUGAACCAGCCAAGUCGCGUGAAGGAUGACUGUCUUAUGGAUUGUAAACUUCUUUUAUACGGGAAUAACAAGAGCCACGUGUGGCUCCCUGCAUGUACCGUAUGAAUAAGCAUCGGCUAACUCCGUGCCAGCAGCCGCGGUAAUACGGAGGAUGCGGGCGUUAUCCGGAUUUAUUGGGUUUAAAGGGUGCGUAGGCGGCCUGUUAAGUCAGCGGUGAAAUCUAGGAGCUUAACUCCUAAAUUGCCAUUGAUACUGGCGGGCUUGAGUGUAGAUGAGGUAGGCGGAAUGCGUGGUGUAGCGGUGGAAUGUAUAGAUAUCACGCAGAACUCCGAUUGCGAAGGCAGCUUACUAAGGUACAACUGACGCUGAAGCACGAAAGCGUGGGUAUCAAACAGGAUUAGAUACCUGGUAGUCCACGCAGUAAACGGUGAUAACUGGGCGUAUGCGAUAUACAGUAUGCUCCU
Molecule: ribosomal RNA, 786 nt
Filed under: uncultured Bacteroidota bacterium
Lineage: Bacteria; Pseudomonadati; Bacteroidota
Description: bacterial SSU rRNA
Rfam family: Bacterial small subunit ribosomal RNA
Source: RNAcentral